AUACGUAGGGUGCGAGCGUUGUCCGGAAUUACUGGGCGUAAAGAGCUCGUAGGUGGUUUGUCGCGUCGUCUGUGAAAUUCCGGGGCUUAACUCCGGGCGUGCAGGCGAUACGGGCAUAACUUGAGUACUGUAGGGGAGACUGGAAUUCCUGGUGUAGCGGUGACAUGCGCAGAUAUAAGGAGGAACACCGGUGGCGAAGGCGGGUCUCUGGGCAGUAACUGACGCUGAGGAGGGAAAGCAUGGGUAGCGAACAGGAUUAGAUACCCUGGUAGUCCAUGCCGUAAACGGUGGGCGCUAGGUGUAGGGGUCUUCCACGACUUCUGUGCCGUAGCUAACGCAUUAAGCGCCCCGCCUGGGGAGUACGGCCGCAAGGCUAAAACUCAAAUGAAUUGACGGGGG
RNAcentral lists this ribosomal RNA (399 nucleotides) under uncultured bacterium. RNAcentral's name for it is "partial 16S ribosomal RNA". It matches the Rfam family "Bacterial small subunit ribosomal RNA", at positions 523 to 919 of the family's 1533-position model. The record is from RNAcentral.